AGAGUUUGAUCAUGGCUCAGGAUGAACGCUAGCUACAGGCUUAACACAUGCAAGUCGAGGGGAAACGACAUCGAAAGCUUGCUUUUGAGUGGGCGUCGACCGGCGCGACGGGUGAGUAACGCGUAUCCAACCUGCCCACCACUUGGGGAUAACCUUGCGAAAGUAAGACUAAUACCCAAUGAUAUCUCUAGAAGACAUCUGAAAGAGAUUAAAGAUUUAUCGGUGAUGGAUGGGGAUGCGUCUGAUUAGCUCGUUGGCGGGGUAACGGCCCACCAAGGCAACGAUCAGUAGGGGUUCUGAGAGGAAGGUCCCCCACAUUGGAACUGAGACACGGUCCAAACUCCUACGGGAGGCAGCA
Molecule: ribosomal RNA, 358 nt
Filed under: uncultured bacterium
Lineage: Bacteria
Description: bacterial SSU rRNA
Rfam family: Bacterial small subunit ribosomal RNA
Source: RNAcentral